GUUAAAAAAACAUGUUCCAGUUGGUCUUUAUGGUAACGGUUUUAAGUCCGGCUGAAUGUGCUUGGGAAAGGAUACCAUUGUUUUCUCAAAGAAAGCCAACCCCAUGUGUGUGGGUCUGCUGUCACAGACUUACCUCGAGAGGACAGGAGCACAGAUUAGAUUGUCCAAGUUCCUAUUGUCUCGUUCACAUACACUGGACAGACAGAUAUCCUUUACCUAGUAACAGAGUGAUAGAUGGAUCAAUGUUAUAGGAAUGGUGUACAGAAACACUGAAUAUAAAAUUUGUUUUACAGGAGCCUUUAUCACUGCAAUAAAUUAAAUAAUGAUUUAAAACUAAUAAAAAAAAAUAAAUCUAAGUAUAGCCAACCACCUAAGUGCUAAGUUAUUCAGUUAAUUAAAUUUAUAAUAAUACAUUUUUUGCAGUAACUACUGUGGAUUAUUCAGUAUUAAGCGGGUAAAAUAAAUACUGAACACCAAUUCACCAUUUUUCUCAGAAAAUUUUUCUAAAGGUGCUGUUGACACGAACCAUGAUGUUCCCACCUCCAAACUUCACUGUUGGUAUGUUGUUUUUAUGGUUAUGUGCAGUGCUGUCUUUUUUCAGCAAUGGAGUCUUGCAGGGUAAGCAUGCAUACAGGCUAUGGCAGUGCAUUACUUAUUGUUUAUUUCUGAAAAUCUCAACAAGUGGUCCUUGGCUCGUGGGAAACGCUUCUGAUAAUUCUUUUCACUCCUCUGUCAGAAAUCUUGCAAUGAGCACCUGGUCGUGUCCAGUUCAUGGUGAAUUGAUGUUCUUUUCACUUCCGGAUUAUGGCUCCAACACUGUGUACUGGAACAUUCAACAGUUUAUAAAACCUGAAAAAUUAAUAUUGAAAUAUUGUAAUAUAGUCAAUGAUAUGAAUGUAACAUGUCACUUGAAAUUUACUACCCUGCUCUAAAUGUACUAUUACUACAUUAUUUACUAAAAUGCUGAAGACUACGAACAAUAUUAUUAGUUGUAUGAAAUUACACCAUCAUUUCUUACCUGGUUUUAACCUCCAAUUAUUAAACUGCAAAAAAUCUUCAGGAGAAUUAGAAUUUGAUUUCUUGAAGGACCCCAAAGACAUCCGGAUCCUUGAUGAUGUGUACAAGAAAUUCAGGAAGUCAAACAAGCGUCAGGCUCAGGAGAGCAUGUCAGUGCCUGAGAGUGAUUAUUCACUACGGGCAUACUGUAGUAUCCUGUACCUGAUUCCAAGAAUGAAGAUUAUCCUUCGAGGGCAUAAGGUGGAAGCUCAGUCUAUCACAACAACUCUAGCAAAGGCUCGUAUGGACACAUACAAACCUGAAUGUCUUGUAUCAUUCUAUUAGAGCACCAGAAUGUAAACAUAUAACUAAUGAUGCACUAGAAAAAGUUAUUAAAUUAUUCAAAUAUUUUAAAGGUCAUGAUACUUAAUUAUUUGUGUCAGAAAAAGGCAAUAAAAAUCCCAUUUGGCUACAACAAAAAGAGCAUGGAGAACUACGGAUUGAUGAUGUACAACAAAAACCGUCUCAUUAAAGCGGAAGAACUCGCACAGAUGCAGCUCAGGUAACUUGCCUCAGGUUCUUGCCUGAGGUUUCUGAUGAGGAAUGAUGCCUGGAUACUUGGAUGCCUGAAAACACACAAAGGGCAAAAGAAAAGAACCCUGGUCCAGUGUCAAGAUAAAACAAAGAAGAAGAAAUCCAAGCAAAUAGAUUUUGACAACAACAUACCAGGGACAUCAACGUUCACAGCCUCACCUGCCAUGUUUAGCAAUGAUAGCAGUUAUAAAAUAGUAGAAAGAAAAAACAUUAAAACACAAGCCAGCUCUGAACACCAACAGCUUCUUCAGGCCAAGCAGGAGAUAAAGCAGCUCCAAGAGAGGGUAAGAGCUCAAUACAGUACAUAGAGCAAAAAGGACAAAUGCAACGUAUUGUAUGUAAACAAAUUAAACAUAAUAAAUUGCAGUAAUAGUUCAGUGAGUUUGUUUCAUGCCCUGUUACUGCAAUUAAAUCUUGUCCUGUUUUUAUACAAAAUUCUUAUGUAGCCCUCUCACCAAUAAAUGUGGCUCAAAUGUGAGAAUUAAGUCUAGGGGAAUUUACAAAUCAACAAUAACCUGGUGAGAGACACAUUUCUAAAUUAUACUAUUCCUAUUAAUCACAACACCCAGAUCUCAGAUAUUCACUUGAUUUUUGUGUUUACCUUUAAAUUGGAAAUUACAAAUAUUCAAAGAAAGAAAAAAAAAACCAAAUUUACAAUGAACUUUUUUUCCCCCACAGGAAACCACACAAAAUUUGUAGUAGAUCAACAAAUGUAUUUAUUUUUCUCAGAACUAUUUUGUCUUUGUGU
Tachysurus fulvidraco (yellow catfish) is the source of this 2338-nucleotide long non-coding RNA. RefSeq lists it as uncharacterized. The transcript has 4 exons. Lineage: Eukaryota; Metazoa; Chordata; Actinopteri; Siluriformes; Bagridae. The record is from RefSeq and is a predicted model, not a curated record.